This is a long non-coding RNA of Zingiber officinale, 466 nucleotides long. RefSeq lists it as uncharacterized. The transcript is spliced from 3 exons. NCBI's taxonomy places the organism in Eukaryota, Viridiplantae, Streptophyta, Magnoliopsida, Zingiberales, Zingiberaceae. The record is from RefSeq and is a predicted model, not a curated record.
ACCACCGAAGCAAUUCGAUCACGGCGUUGUUUCUUCUUCCACUCCUCCUGAUCCCCUCGCCUUGUUGAUCACCGACAUCUGUAGGCUGCUGAUACCGUGGGAGGCCGAUGCUGAGCCACAGCACCGUCGGCUUCGAGCAACCCAUCGCCGGUCAAAAGGAAGAGGAUCUGAACCCUAGAUUCGAUCCCUCAUUGCCUCACCUGGGUGCUGUGGUUUCGAGCAAUGGAGCUUCUGUUCCAGCUGAGAUUUUGUUGCCAUCUACACUGUCAUCAGCCACUUGUUACAAGAAAUGUUACUAGGCCGGUGGACCAUUGGAGAAGGGGUUAUUGACAUGGAAUUAAGGGUUGAUAUCAACAGGGCAAAGUGUGGCUAAGGGAUAGACUUCUGAUCGCUGUUUGCACAUCAGGGAUUUUAUUUCGAGGCGAGCGUCUCGACAUGGGAUUGGAUUGUUUGACGCGGUCGACAG